Molecule: long non-coding RNA, 2159 nt
Filed under: Gallus gallus (chicken)
Lineage: Eukaryota; Metazoa; Chordata; Aves; Galliformes; Phasianidae
Description: long non-coding RNA NONGGAT003085
Source: RNAcentral
AGCCCCGCCGAGCUGAGCGGGGCGGCCCCGGGUCGGGGUUGUGUGGUGCUGCGAGGCUCCGUCAGGUGCCUGCCCGUGGGCCUGUCGGGCUUCCAUCCCUCCCGCAGCACGGCUUGUGCUGCACCGUGGGCGUUCUGUCAGGAUUUGGUGCUUCUAGGUGAAGUUUCACAGAUGUCCAUCGAAUGGAAUCGGUGCAGAAAUACUGGCCUGGGUGUACGGGGAGACCAGCAGAUGUGAGGAUGGAUCCAUUGGCUUCACUGGGGUGGGAAAGAUGCUCAAGAAAAACGCUUGGGAACAUCACCAGCAUGAAGGAAAAGAGAGCAGAUCUGCUCCAUCUGUGAAAUUUGCUGAACUGGUCUGAGAAUCCCUCAAAAAGAGUACAGGACUGUGGGUAAGGUUUGUCUUCAAUGCAGCUCCACAGAAGCCUGAAUGUAUAUAAGGAAAGAAGCUGAAUGUUAUAGUCUGAUAGGAAAGAGGCCUGGAUAUGAUUGUGAGUUUAAACGAGCAGCAAAACUGAGCUCUCUCUGUGCUUUUCACAUCUGGUGAGGCGACACAAAAUAGUUCCUGCCUUUUGAGACUGAAAGAAGCAGAUGAGCCAUUUGGUCAAACACGGGUAAAUGCAGUAUCCAUGUUUCUAUGCUAUAGGCCUGCCCUGCCAGUGGAGAAAUACUGGGAAUGGAUUUCUGAAGCCAUAGAACAAUGAGUGGUUACAAACAUCCCGCUGAUAAUUUUGCUUUGAAUUACUGUGUGCUACUUCUUUCAUGUGUGUGAAUGUAGUCCUCCUGCAGGUAAAACAGACGUGGAAAACAGAGUAGCUCCACUAAGUGCUAUCAGCCUUGGAGGGCAGGGCUGGCAAAACUUUGCACUGUUAUUCAUUAUUUCGAUGGAUAGUCUCCAAAAGCAGGAGGGAGAAAAAGUACUUUAUAGCUCCAUAUGCUUUUUUCUUCAAGGAGUUUGGUAGGUUUAGAGACACUGAAGUGAGAACGAGCUUAUAUCCUAGUGAAAUGGGUGAGUAAUAACACUGCGGGCUUCAGAGGAAAUGGUAGGCAACAGAUUUUUUUGGUACCUCUCAUAGGCACAGGGAAGUUGAGAUCACUGCUUUUGAAAAUCCAAGUAUACGCAGCUUCACCAAGGACUGCACAGCAACUCUUUAUCACAGUUAAAAUUAAAACGUGCAUCUGCACAGUCCGGGCAUGUUCUGUAAGCUAGAGAUGUCUGAUUAUCUGCAGGCCUGAUCUGGUCCCUGGAACAAGUUCAUAUAGCCCAGCAAAAACUUGUCUGAAUAUACAAUGCAAUCCAGCUCCUAAAUAAGAAGCAUUCAUAUGGUCUGUCCCCUUACCUACCAAGAAAUGUCACAACCCCACUUAAUCGUACGGAAGCGUAAUGCAGUUGUCGGGUCAUCUCUUUAUUGAAGAGUACUUUCUGGGUCAUUUCCCUGUCUUGACCUUUUAAUUCUUAUAACCAUUUGAUUUUCUGCCACUGUCAGUGAGAGAACCUUUGUGUAACCACCCCUGGCCAUGGGGUACCUCAGUUUCUAUGACUUAAGGCACUCUAAGGGAAGCCUCUAGGCUACAUCAGAACAUACAACAGUAGAACACUAGACUCUGAGUUACUUACAUACUCACUAACGUGACCCUUUGUAGACUUCUGCAUGUUACAUACUAAGAACGCUUAAACCCCUUAGAUUUUAGAAAUGAGAACAGAACACAACAAACAAAGCAUACGCAACAUAAACCAAUUAACACCAAGCCACACAGAGCUGUGGCCACUGCUACAACCCAACAUCUGUCCUUUAUCUGUCUGGUUAAUCCAGGGAGCAGUCCUGCAUCUUUAGGAGCUCACCAUCUUGCCACUGCAAAAGGUCAAACUGCUCAAUGCCGUGUGGUUACGAGAGCAAGAAGGAUCAAUCCUGCAAAUUCAUUUGAAAGAAUCAAGGCGUUUUCUGUUCCGUGUAUGCAUCCCAUGUGAUGGUACUGGAGCUUUAAGCUUAACGGGAGAGCGUUUCCUCUGUGUGCAGGCAGCUGGGGCAGGAUAAAUGGGCAGGCACUGCCACGGCAGUCAUUGAUUGAUAUGGAUGGUCAUCUCCAGAUUGAUUAUUGUAGAAUCAGGACAGAAUGAAAGGGCCCAGAGGAAAAAUCAGCACCUGUGGUUGCAUUGAA